CGGAGGCUACCGCUAUUGGAGUUCGAUUAAGCCAUGCGAGUCGCGAGUCUUAGGGACUCGGCGUACCGCUCAGUAACACGUGGGUAACCUGCCCUAUGCUGGGGAAUAACCUCGGGAAACUGAGAAUAAUGCCCCAUAGUUCACCACGCCUGGAACGGUGGGUGGAUCAAAGCUCCGGCGGCAUAGGAUGGGCCUGCGGCGUAUCAGGUCGUAGGGGGUGUAAUGUACCCUCUAGCCAUCGACGCGUACGGGUGUUGGGAGACAUUGCCCGGAGAUGGAUUCUGAGACACGAAUCCAGACCCUACGGGGUGCAGCAGGCGCGAAAACUUGGCAAUGCGAGAAAUCGUGACCAGGGAACUCCAAGUGCAUCGGGUAAGACCGAUGCUUUUCUUGACUCUUCAACGGUCUUGGAAUAAGGGGUGGGUAAGGACGGUGCCAGCCGCCGCGGUAAUACCGGCGCCUCAAGUGGUAGUCGCUUUUAUUGGGCCUAAAACGUCCGUAGCCGGUUUGGUACAUUCGUGGGUAAAUCAAGGCGCUCAACGUCUUGAAUUCUGCGAGCACGGCCAGACUUGGGACCGGGUGAGGUGUGGGGUACUCUCAGGGUAGGGGUAAAAUCCUGUCAUCCUGAGAGGACCACCUGUUGCGAAGGCGCCACACUAGAACGGAUCCGACGGUCAGGGACGAAGCCUAGGGGCACGAACCGGAUUAGAUACCCGGGUAGUCCUAGGUGUAAACGCUGUGGACUUGGUGUUGGGAGUGCUCCGAGCACCCUCAGUGUCGAAGCGAAGGUGAUAAGUCCACUGCCUGGGGAGUACGGUCGCAAGGCUGAAACUUAAAGGAAUUGGCGGGG
This 850-nucleotide ribosomal RNA is filed under the name uncultured archaeon. Its description in RNAcentral is "bacterial SSU rRNA". It matches the Rfam family "Archaeal small subunit ribosomal RNA", at positions 18 to 873 of the family's 1478-position model. The record is from RNAcentral.